UCCAUAACUUCCCCAUCAGCAGGUUCAUAGGGGAGUUUUUAGCAUUUUGGUAGAAAAAAAUAAAUCAGAAAAAACGAAAAAAAGUAAGGCAGCCUCUUAUAUAAUAUACUCAUUCUUGCUCUAAGUGACUAAACGUGUUAACGUUCUGUUGGCCAGACAAAAAAAUAGAAAAGGUAAAAAAAAAUUGUUUUCCUCUCUCUAUCUUUCUCUCGCGAUCGAAACGGCAAAGAUUUGUAUUUGAAAUCAAAGGAUCGGUUCUGUGAGAUGAUGAGAUGAUGAGCGAUGAGUUCGUUGAACCGAACCGGUUCACGUUUCCUUAUGUGCUUAAGGCUUGUGCGAAAACAGGGAAGAUUCAACAAGAUUGUGGAGGAUGCUUUGCUUUGUGGGUGAUGGUUUUGAUGGAUCGUUGUCUUCUCUGAGCUACAUCUUCAGACCAUCGAUAUUAAUGUGUGAGGGUUGGAAGAGAAGAAAGAAACAUUGUGAAAGUGAAUGGUUUGCGUAUGAAGCUAGAACCAUACAAGGAGAUGUUCAGAACUAUUAGCUGUUUUAAUCAUUCUUCACUCUUUAUGUUACAGAAAAUUCUUUCCUUUUGACUCUUUCUGUUACUCGGUUGAAAGAUCUUUCGUUUUGGUUUUGAUUUUGAUUAUUUUUUGGUGUCACGUAGAUUUCGAAAUUGAGCAUGAUUCCGGUGGUAUGCGUGUUGGAAUGGAUUAUACAUAGCAAGCAUUACUGUAAAGAAGUGAAAGCUUCUGUUACGGUUGUGGUUAUUGGUGUUGGGAUCUGUACUGUGACUGAUGUCAAAGUUAAUGCCAAAGGUUUCAUUUGUGAGGUUUCAUUUGUGCGUGCACUGCUGUUUUCUCCACAUCUCUCCAGCAGAUUUCAAUAGGUUCUCUGCAAAAGAAGUACUCAGUAGGAUCUUUUGAAUUGCUGGGCAAAACAGCUCCAAUCCAAGCCAUUUCACUUCUCAUCUUUGGCCCUUUUGUUGACUAUUUCUUGAGCGGAAAAUUCAUAUCUACUUACAAAAUGACUUAUGGUGCCAUCAUAAGUAACUUUUUUCAACUUCUCUAAGAUUCAGAUGACUCAAACGUAAACACAAAAUCCUUACUCUUAUCUCUAAAUUUUGCAAUUCUGCAUUCUUCUCUCUUGUGCAUUAGCUGUUUUCUGUAACAUAAGCUGUUUGACAUUAUAGGUUACAGUUUCAAACAUUUGUCUUACUAGUUUAGUUUUGUAAUUGUAGAUUUACUCAGAUUUUUGUCUUUUUUUCUUCA
This is a long non-coding RNA of Camelina sativa (false flax), 1268 nucleotides long. RefSeq lists it as uncharacterized. Lineage: Eukaryota; Viridiplantae; Streptophyta; Magnoliopsida; Brassicales; Brassicaceae. The record is from RefSeq and is a predicted model, not a curated record.